Molecule: long non-coding RNA, 259 nt
Filed under: Elaeis guineensis (African oil palm)
Lineage: Eukaryota; Viridiplantae; Streptophyta; Magnoliopsida; Arecales; Arecaceae
Description: long non-coding RNA (EGUI_LNC030989)
Source: RNAcentral
AUCCAUUUUGACCCCUUUAUAAAUAGAGAUAAGCGAAGAUCCCACCAGGUAUGCUUAGACAAUCUCUCUCUAAACCCAGAGACUCUACUCUUUUUUUAUACGCUAUCUUGAGCGACGGAGGGUCCUCGCCGGAGUCACCUCCAGCGGGAUUUAUUUUGCAGAUCUUUCUUCCAUUUUCGUCGAGCGGAGCUCAGCACCAUCUCAAUCUAAGCUCUAUCUUUGCCUUUCGUCUUAGCUUUGAUUGUGUGCGGCUUCUCCA